This 213-nucleotide long non-coding RNA is filed under the name Homo sapiens (human). RNAcentral's name for it is "HSALNT0379525". Lineage: Eukaryota; Metazoa; Chordata; Mammalia; Primates; Hominidae. The record is from RNAcentral.
AGGGAUGAGCACUGCCUUUGUGCCAGACGAGGAGAGAAACCACAGGGUGUAGCUUGGCAAUGUGGAGACGGAUCCCGCCUUCCUUCCAGCCACAUGGAGAUGGAUCUCUCCUUCCUUCCCGUCAUGUGGAGAUGGAUCCCGCCUUCCUUCCCCGCCAUGUGGGCCUGUGGGGGGAGUGGGAGGGACAGGUAGAUUCCUUUUGGUUUCCUGCCA